UCCAUUUUUUAUUACAAUUUA
RNAcentral lists this non-coding RNA (21 nucleotides) under Caenorhabditis elegans. Lineage: Eukaryota; Metazoa; Nematoda; Chromadorea; Rhabditida; Rhabditidae. The record is from RNAcentral.